This 901-nucleotide long non-coding RNA is filed under the name Pelobates cultripes (western spadefoot toad). The record is from RNAcentral. Lineage: Eukaryota; Metazoa; Chordata; Amphibia; Anura; Pelobatidae.
GGGCAGUAUAUAGAUAGUACCCCGGCAGGUGGGGUAAUAAGGCUGAUACAGGGCAGUAUAUAGACAGUACCAGGGCAGGUGGGGUAAUAAGGCUGACACAGGGCAGUAUAUAGAUAGUACCAGGGCAGGUGGGGUAAUAAGGCUGACACAGGGCAGUAUAUAGAUAGUACCAGGGCAGGUGGGGUAAUAAGGCUGACACAGGGCAGUAUAUAGAUAGUACCAGGGCAGGUGGGGUAAUAAGGCUGAUAAGGGGCAGUAUAUAGAUAGUACCCCGGCAGGUGGGGUAAUAAGGCUGAUACAGGGCAGUAUAUAGACAGUACCAGGGCAGGUGGGGUAAUAAGGCUGACACAGGGCAGUAUAUAGAUAGUACCAGGGCAGGUGGGGUAAUAAGGCUGACACAGGGCAGUAUAUAGAUAGUACCAGGGCAGGUGGGAGUAAUAAGGCUGACACAGGGUAGUAUAUAGAUAGUAUCAGGGCAGGUGGGGUAUUAAGGCUAGUUCAGGUGAUUAUAGCCCCAGAAGAAGGAUUACCGGUCUCUCUGCCCGCCCUAAGAUGAGCCUCCCUGGGUUCCUGCUGUUGCUGGCGGCCGCCCUGGUCUCCUCGGCCGAGGUUCUGUUCCGCUGCCCCCCUUGCACUCCAGAGCGUGUGGCUGCCUGUCCUGCCCUGCCCCCGCGGAGCCCCUGCGCGGAGCUGGUACGGGCCCCCGGCUGCGGCUGCUGUCCUGUGUGCGCCCGGGUGGAGGGAGAGUCCUGCGGGGUGUACACCGCCCGCUGUGCCACCGGGCUCCGCUGCUACCCCAACCCCGGCUCCGAUCUCCCCCUACAGGCUCUGGUGAAUGGCCAGGGGGGGUGCGGCAAAAGGAGGGACGCUGAGUAUGGGAGCAGCCAGGAACGGGGCACAG